AGUUUGAUCCUGGCUCUAGAUUGAACGCUGGCGGCAUGCCUUACACAUGCAAGUCGAACGGUAACAGAUCUUCGGAUGCUGACGAGUGGCGAACGGGUGAGUAAUACAUCGGAACGUGCCUAGUAGUGGGGGAUAACUACUCGAAAGAGUGGCUAAUACCGCAUGAGAUCUACGGAUGAAAGCAGGGGAUCGCAAGACCUUGUGCUACUAGAGCGGCCGAUGGCAGAUUAGGUAGUUGGUGGGAUAAAAGCUUACCAAGCCGACGAUCUGUAGCUGGUCUGAGAGGACGAUCAGCCACACUGGGACUGAGACACGGCCCAGACUCCUACGGGAGGCAGCAGUGGGGAAUUUUGGACAAUGGGCGCAAGCCUGAUCCAGCAAUGCCGCGUGCAGGAUGAAGGCCUUCGGGUUGUAAACUGCUUUUGUACGGAACGAAAAGCCCUGGGUUAAUACCCUGGGGUCAUGACGGUACCGUAAGAAUAAGCACCGGCUAACUACGUGCCAGCAGCCCGCGGUAAUACGUAGGGUGCGAGCGUUAAUCGGAAUUACUGGGCGUAAAGCGUGCGCAGGCGGUUUUGUA
RNAcentral lists this ribosomal RNA (580 nucleotides) under Comamonas sp. B0062. RNAcentral's name for it is "bacterial SSU rRNA". It matches the Rfam family "Bacterial small subunit ribosomal RNA", at positions 10 to 585 of the family's 1533-position model. Lineage: Bacteria; Pseudomonadati; Pseudomonadota; Betaproteobacteria; Burkholderiales; Comamonadaceae. The record is from RNAcentral.